This 346-nucleotide unclassified non-coding RNA is filed under the name Hevea brasiliensis (rubber tree). Lineage: Eukaryota; Viridiplantae; Streptophyta; Magnoliopsida; Malpighiales; Euphorbiaceae. The record is from RNAcentral.
GGCUCGAUUACCAUUUUGACUCACCGCAAAGAAGAUCUGUGUUGACUGAUGUUUGGUGGAGCAAGUGAAGAGGAGGCUUGGUUUUGGCUCGAGAUAGGGUUGAUGCACAAGUGCAAAUGAUGGGUUAGUUAUGGUAAUGGAGUAAAAUUUGGCUAUACACUUGAAUCGAAUAAGAGAUUUGACUGGAAGUCUUGUGAAUAUACCAAAUAUAAGAUCAUGAGGGACUGAUUUUGAUGAUGAUGAAAUGCUUCUCACCUCUAAGAUUGAUCUUGACGGUGAAUUUAGUGUCACCCUUCUUUUCUUUGCUUCUCUCACUUUAGUGGCUGAAGCAGUAGGCUUCUUAUCA